RNAcentral lists this long non-coding RNA (207 nucleotides) under Elaeis guineensis (African oil palm). RNAcentral describes it as "long non-coding RNA (EGUI_LNC034601)". The record is from RNAcentral. Lineage: Eukaryota; Viridiplantae; Streptophyta; Magnoliopsida; Arecales; Arecaceae.
UCAUCAUGACUUGUGGAUAAUACCCCAUCGCACAUUAUUCAUCUAACUUUCGAUUCCAUCCAUUGAUCCCAUUUUUUUUCUAAAACACAAACAUUGAAAGUUCGGUCUAAACCUAGGAAUAAUAAAAAGCAAAAGAAGGUCAAUAAAAGAGAAAGAAAAUGAUUUCUAUUUUUAAUUGCCUGUUCUACUCUAGCUAAAGCAAAGACC